CCUGGCCUCCAUCCUGGGCUGUUCUGGCCACUGAGAGACAGUCUAUCUGUGUUUUCAGGUGCAUGUGGAGUUGUUAAAGGUCCAUGGAGCUGCUGUAAGAGUCUACCCUUGGCCAUGAGCUCUUGGACAGGUGUGCUUUCUUCUUGACCAUGGAUGUGAUAGUUGGCGCUGCAGCAGCCAUUCCGAGGUC
Prionailurus viverrinus (fishing cat) is the source of this 190-nucleotide long non-coding RNA. RefSeq lists it as uncharacterized. The transcript has 3 exons. The record is from RefSeq and is a predicted model, not a curated record. Lineage: Eukaryota; Metazoa; Chordata; Mammalia; Carnivora; Felidae.